This is a long non-coding RNA of Rosa chinensis, 1805 nucleotides long. RefSeq lists it as uncharacterized. Lineage: Eukaryota; Viridiplantae; Streptophyta; Magnoliopsida; Rosales; Rosaceae. The record is from RefSeq and is a predicted model, not a curated record. The transcript is spliced from 13 exons.
AAAGUGACGGGUUUGCCCUCAUUUGAGGUUUUUUUGCGGUUCUGCCACUGAGCUAUAGUAGAUGCUUCCAUUAGUUCUUUCUUCUACGGCCAUCGGAUUCUUCUCUCUUCUGUUGGUUUCUCUCUUCCUCGCCAUCACUCAGUACGACAUCGAAGAAGUAUAGCAACACUGCAACCACACAUUUUCGCAGCAGGAGAUUAUUGCAGCGGCGUAGGUUUCAUCUUUGCCGACAAGUUUUUUGUCCGUAUCGGAAUUCGCAGUCAAUCCUUUCUCUCAGUUUUGGCUGGGUGGACGUAGAUACUGGGGGAAAGGGAUUGGAGCAAGACCACACUUGCUCUUAGGAGAUGCUUCUGUAUCAACGCCCAAUUUCCUUUUCUCAUCAGAGAGAUUUGAUCAAACAGCAAAGCUACUUAGUUUUGGGGGUGAAUUCAGAAGCUAUGUCGGUUUUGGGGGAGGAGAAGAUAUGCUGCCAAACAGUUAGAAUCAAGACAAAACGAAGGACCCUCAAUCAAUAUCAGCACUUCUGUUCGCCGACAUCAGAAACAUCCAUUAACAUCAAUACCUAUCACAGCCUGUAGAAGGGACUGUGGUGUUCUGAUUUAUGCUUUUGAUGGAUUUGGCGAGAGUGAGGAUCGCAGACUCCACCCCUGUAACUAUAUCUAAGAUGGUCCAACUCUCAUAUACGAAGCUUAUUAUAGGGUGGCUUAACUACUACUCGAUGUUGAGAAAUUUGAUUCAUCAAAGGCGUUCAAAAUCUCUACUUAUGUUUACUGGUGGAUACUGCAGGCGAGACCAAUCUUUUCAAUUUAAAUGGUCAACAACUUGGGUGUUUCAAGAGCACUGGUUGAAAAUUCCAGAACCUUACUACUGCCUGCACAUUUGCAUGAGAGGUUAGGGUUAAUCAAAAAUGCAAAAGUUAGAUUCGAAGACAAACGAAUAACUCCAUCUAUUGAUAGGAUUGCAGAAAGCCUGAAUAUGUCCAAAAAGAAAGUUAGGAAGUUACUCAGUUUGCCUUUUGGUUACUCUUAUAAUUUACAGAACAAAUCACAGCGUCAAGCACAAACCACACUUGCAUCAUGAUAAAUCCACGCAUUCCACAGGCGCAAUAAUAUAAAACUGAGUAUCAAGUGCUCAACAAACCAAGAUAGGCCAACACCUUAUGAAAUGAAUAUCUAAAAGCAUCAAAAGAGCGUUCUACCUGCAACCAGUUUUUAUAAAAUCCUUCAAUGUGGACCCUCUUUUGAGUCUCUUUAGCUGGAGACCCAAACACAAGACACAGCAAAAGAAUAGUUUAUCCCUUCCUUGGGUCAAAAAAUGGGAUAGUGCCUUGGUUGUAGAUGAGCAGACCAGUGCAAUCAGAAAAACUUUUGGAAAGUUUGAUGAUGUGCUUGAAUCUGGUUGUCAUUGUUUGCCUUGCUGUUGAGGUAGGGCAAUAGCUGCUCAUGUCUUUCUACAACUGCAGCAAUUAGAUGUUUCACUGAUACACAGAUUUGGAAGCUUAAGAAAUUGUGCUCCAAGGGCCCGAACCAUAAUUUGCAUCAAUGUUCAAUCAAAUUGGUGGAACUUCAUAAUAAGAACAGGGCACAAAACCUGUAAUUUUCAAGCCAACAUCCAUCAAACAGUUCUCAUUAUUGUCUUUCAUCUAUUGCUUUAUUAAACGAUACAUACCAAGUUUGAUUUGAAGUUAUUGAUUCUGGUGGAGAAAUUCGUAUAGCAUGUUCAACAGAAACAUUCUGCUAUGCAAUGUUAUCCCAGUAACAUAUAACAUUAAUUCCCGCAGCAAAGCGCGGGCACUCUUCCUAGUA